Long non-coding RNA from Phacochoerus africanus (Common warthog), 3746 nucleotides. RefSeq lists it as uncharacterized. Lineage: Eukaryota; Metazoa; Chordata; Mammalia; Artiodactyla; Suidae. The transcript has 3 exons. The record is from RefSeq and is a predicted model, not a curated record.
UCUGGAAGGAAUUUUGCUCCUUGCAGCCGUGGAAACCGUGUCUCAACAGAUUCCCAGGGCUGCUGGCAUAAAGGACCGCACACUCUGGUCCCCUCUCCCCAGGGCUGGGGGCCAGAGGCGGAGGUCAGGGUGUGGGCGGCUGGGGCUCCCCCACCCCCGGCUCUAGAGGAGGAGCCUGCCUGUGUCCCCAGCUCCUGGCGGCUCUCAGCAGGUCUAGACCCCUCGCUCCCAUCCCGCCCCCACCGUCACGGGGCUUCUUCUUGGGGGGUUGCGUGCCUCGGAUCAGGGGGUCACCUCCUCCAGGACGACCUCCUCUCUGCUGAUUACAUCGGCGACGACCCUGAUGCCAAACGUCACAGGUGCAGGCGGAGGCGGAGAACCGUCUCCACACCCGAGCGAAAGAACGGCCGAGCCCGUGGAGCCGCUGCGGUUGUGCAACAAAAGACGAAGGCCGCCAAGGGCCCCGCUCAGUCUCCGAAACGUGAUAAGGAAUGUGACUUUGAACUCAUUAACCUGCCAUCGGGUUAUGACUACCGGCGACCAGAGCGGGUGCCCUGACGCUCCCAGAGGCUGCCCUGCCCGCGGCGGGGGAGGCACUCCCAGGUGGGCCCUGGGCCAGGUGGCACCCGAGGUCCAGCUCCCCAGCACCCACCCCCAAGGAGAGGCCCCGGGCCCACUCCCUUCUCCUUGCCAAGGUGUAGACCCCAAGCCCAGGAGGAUAUCCUGGUGACACUACUUUUCCCUCCACCACUGGGGUCCCAGGUCGCGAUGUUAUGUUUAAAUUCAAGGGUGACAGCACCGGGAGGGUCCUGAGAAGGGGGCUGUAGGGCUUGGGCCCGGGGGGGACACAGCCAGCAGGACGGGCUGGCCCGCGGCCCAGAGAGCAGUGAGGGCUGUGGACAGUCACAGAGGCACCUGUGCCCCCACACAGGGGAGGCGUCCCUGGAGAGCGGGCAGGGUCCCUGCGGCCACCCCUCAGUGUGCAAGCUGGCUCUGGCCACAGGGGCCGAGCCCGUCCCUGUCCCCCUGGGCAGCCUACAUUGUCCCCCAGCUGCAGGAAGGGGGCUGGGCCUGCGGGGCCCACAGGCAGACCCAGGCCCAGGGCUGACAGAGCAGCAGAGGGAGGUGACUUGGAGGGGCCAUAGGAAGGGGGCCGCAGGGGACAGGGCAUGAACAGUGGGGAGACCCCUCAACGAGCAGGCAUUGUAUUAGUCAGGGUCCUCCAGAGCAGCAGAACCAACGCGAGGCAGGCAGGGAAGCAGACAGAUCCAUUCUGAGGCCGUGGCCUCCGUCUGCAGGCUGGAGGCCUGGGAGAGCCGGAGUGUGAAGGCCUGAGAACCAGAAGCUCGAGCCCCUGUCUGGGCCCAAGGGCAGGAGGACAGGGACGGCCCAGCUCAGCAUCGGCAAAGAGCCACGCCCCCUUUCUCCCCCUGCCCCCCGGGGUGGGCGUCUUCUUCCCCUGCAGCCCCUCCGGCUGGCCCUCUCUCCCUCCCCAGGCCUCAGAAAGAGGGGUGGGCUUGGCCAUGGUCAGAAGCCGUCCAGGGCCAGCUGCCUGGGUGGGGGCCGGGACCAUGGGCCGGGGGUCCAUAGAGGGGGUCACACAGAGGCAGCCCCCAACCCCUCCUGCUGCCCCCCCAGGGCUGCUUUGGGGGGGGUACCAAUUUCUGGGGGAGAAACGCAGGACAGGGCGGGGCUCGGCAUUGGCGGGGAGUGGGGGCUCGCCCCCACAGGCCUGCACUCAGGGAGGGGCGCCAGGUGUCCCAGAGCAGCAAGGCGGGUGCUGGGUUUGUGAGGACAGUUCUGCCUUCUUGUCUUCAGUCCAUACGCCUUAAUUUCCUUCUUUGUGGACUUCAGAUAACCUCACACAUCAGGAAAAUGCUUGCAGCCCUUCAUGGUCGAGCCGGCAGAGAUAGACCCAAGGCUUCCCCACGCCCCCCGCCCCGUCCCAUGCUCGUGCAGCCAUCGCCCGCCCUCCGCCACCUCCCCGCAGUCCCCAGCAUGCCUCCCACCCCGGACCUCACUUCCCUACCCAGCCGCCUCCUGGCCGAUGCGACAGAACUCGUGCCAGCGGACACGCAGCCGAACUCCGUGUAAACACGCCUGGUGCAGUUGGUACAGGAGGCUGCCCCUCGGGCCUGCUGGCCGUGCUCCCCGCCCGGAGCACCUUGGACCUGCAGCCAGUGAGGACAAGGUUCCUUUCCCAUGAAGUCCUCCCAGGCGACGGGUUCCCCGUGCUGCGCGGCAGGCCCUUGGCGGGGGUCUGUUUAUUCAGAGAAGUGCAUGUCUGUUAACCCCAAACUCCUCAUCCCUCCCUCUCCUGCCCCUUAUAAGUUUGUUUUCUGGGUCUGUGAGGUGCCAGUUUCUUUUAAAUUGACCCUAAAAGUCACAGGAUGGCAGAGGAGCCGCCACCCGGGGCCCACAGGGGUUCCCGCGCCUUCCCUCCUGCAGGAUCACGCGGGAGCCGGCACACUUGGAAGACAGUCCCCAGAGCAAGGAGGGGACGUCAGGGGCUGGAUGCCCAGCAGCCAGGAGGCAGCAGGCUGGGGGGACCCCGGGGAACACCCAUCUGCGGGGCAGCGGCUGAAGCCCAGGGCCGGGUGCCAACUCCAGGGUCCUUUGUCCAGGUUCGAGCUAAUGACCGCACGCUUGGCCACGAUCGGACACCACAGAGCUUCCCACGGGCUGUGGGCCGGCGGCCCUGUGGGCUUGUGCAGUUCAUGCUCAUUUCACACAGAGACAGGCCUGGCUCUGACCUUGUCCCAGCCCUUCAGGGGCUCCCCACACCCUCCUGAGUGCCAGCCUUGAACCUGAGUCAGACAGCGAGUCCCUGGCUCCCGGGUGACGCCUGGCAAGGCGAGGGCAGACAAUAGCUCACCUGCGUAGGUUCGGGGGCGGGGGGGGGGGCGGCCCUUCCGCCCAUGCCCGAGGGUGUUCCCAGGGUGUGGACGGCUCCCUCCAAAACCCAAGAGCAAAGUCCAAGCCAAGGGGCUGAGGGCAGAUGGGGAAGUGGGGAAGUACGGGCCAGAGCCGGCAGCCAGCUCUCACCCCUGGAGUCACCGCCACACAAACCACCUUCCCCCAAACCCUUGCCUCGGGUCUGCCUUUGGGGACCUCGAGUGGGGGCCAAGGGACCAGCUCUGAGCAGCUCGGGCUGAGGGUGCUGAGCCGGGCACGCAGAGUGGGCCGGGUGCUCCGCUCGCCUGGCUCAGCCGUGAAGACCGGGAGGGUUUACUCAGAGCCGGGCGGGCGGGGAGAGACGCUGUGAGUCCUUUAGGCACAGACGUCGUCACUGCGUCACAGCAAAGCCUCCUGACACCCUGGGACGUCACCCUGCAUUCGCACCCUUCCUUUCUCGGAGCUGAGCCCAAGAAUCCUCUCCUUAUUUAGACGAGGUUGGAAAUAAGUGCAGCGGCAGCUAACGGCUGAUUAAAUCGGUGAAAACGGGUGGAGGGAGGCCGCUGGAACACCCCUGGGAAUGAUGUUGUUACCUGCGGAGACGGUGGCCCUUAUUGGCCACAGCCUUGACCUUGUGGGAGGCCCCCCCCCCCCAAGGGCGUCUCUACCCCAGAGUCCCCGGGUGCCCGCCUGAGCCUCUGCCUGGGGCCAGCAGGGCACCCUGGGAAAAUCCCGCCAGGGCAUGCCAGCCCCUCCCCCGGCAUGACAUCCGGAGGCUUCCCGGGGACACGCCUUCAGGAACUGCUGUGUUUAAAAACCAAAUUGGAAUAAAAGCCAAGUUCCUUAGGCAU